UACGGAGGGAGCUAGCGUUGUUCGGAAUUACUGGGCGUAAAGCGUGCGCAGGCGGUUCGUUGUGUCGGUGGUGAAAUCCCCGGGCUUAACCUGGGAAUGGCCAUGGAAACUGGCGAACUGGAGUGUGGCAGAGGGGGGUGGAAUUCCGCGUGUAGCAGUGAAAUGCGUAGAGAUGUGGAGGAACACCGAUGGCGAAGGCAGCCCCCUGGGCUGAGAUUGACGCUCAGGCACGAAAGCGUGGGGAGCAAACAGG
Molecule: ribosomal RNA, 253 nt
Filed under: uncultured bacterium
Lineage: Bacteria
Description: partial 16S ribosomal RNA
Rfam family: Bacterial small subunit ribosomal RNA
Source: RNAcentral